Molecule: long non-coding RNA, 1053 nt
Filed under: Gossypium barbadense (sea-island cotton)
Lineage: Eukaryota; Viridiplantae; Streptophyta; Magnoliopsida; Malvales; Malvaceae
Description: long non-coding RNA (GBAR_LNC007683)
Source: RNAcentral
UUUCAGGUAUGCCAUUCUUUGGGAGGAGGAACGGGUUCCGGAAUGGGAACGUUGUUGAUAUCGAAGAUACGAGAGGAGUAUCCGGACCGAAUGAUGCUUACGUUUUCGGUGUUCCCAUCUCCCAAGGUUUCUGAUACUGUUGUUGAGCCUUACAACGCGACACUCUCAGUUCAUCAGCUUGUGGAAAAUGCUGAUGAGUGUAUGGUUCUUGAUAACGAAGCUCUCUACGAUAUCUGUUUCCGUACCCUCAAGCUCACCACUCCAAGUUGUAAGUAUUUUUAUUUUUUUUUUGUUUUCUUGCUAAUGAAGCUUCUGAUUUGUUACUCUCGAACUACUUUUUGUGUUUGUUUGGCUGGUGAGAAAUGAAGUAGAAACUGUAAUUUGGGUUUUUAUAAUUUAUUUUGGUUUAAUGUGUUUAAUAUAGUAUUGUUUGGGCUACCAUUUAGAUAUUAAUUAGAUUGAUUUAGAUUGUAAGUGCGUUUGGUAUUUGAUUUAGUUGAAAAUUUCUAUUUUGUUAUGAUGAAUCCAAAACUAGGAACACAUGGAACUUAUUGUGUCCAUUUGUGAUUGAAUUAGCAUUUUCAAUUUAAGGUCUAGAACCUUCUCAUUUAGAUUCCAAUUUGUGAGAGUUAAAACAGUGAAGUAAUAGUCCAUCUUUCUGUGUAUUGAAGGUGAGGUGGAACUAAAAUAGUAGGAGCUACAUGAAUCUUAGAUUCUCUUCUCUGCCACUCUGCAAUGAAUGCAGUCGGGGUUGUAUAUACAAUAUAUGGAAUCUAACUUGUAAUGUUUGAUGUUCAGUUGGAGAUCUCAACCAUCUAAUUUCUGCCACCAUGAGUGGUGUAACAUGCUGCCUUCGCUUCCCUGGUCAGCUUAACUCGGAUCUCCGCAAACUUGCCGUAAACCUUAUUCCAUUCCCCCGACUACAUUUCUUCAUGGUGGGAUUUGCACCUCUCACCUCACGCGGUUCCCAACAGUACAGAGCCCUCACUGUCCCUGAACUUACACAGCAAAUGUGGGAUGCCAAGAACAUGAUGUGUGCAGCUGAUCCUCGAC